GUGAAUACCUUGGCUUAACCGAGGAAGGGCAUUUGAAACUGCUUGGCUUGAGUACGGGAGGGGGAAGUGGAAUUCCCGGUGUAGAGGUGAAAUUCGUAGAUAUCGGGAGGAACACCGGUGGCGAAGGCGGCUUUCUGGACCGAUACUGACGCUGAGACGCGAAAGCGUGGGGAGCAAACAGGAUUAGAUACCCUGGUAGUCCACGCCUUAAACGUUGGGCACUAGGUGUUGUGGGUAUUGACCCCUGCAGUGCCAAGGGCGAAUUCCACAGUGGAUA
This 277-nucleotide ribosomal RNA is filed under the name uncultured bacterium. Its description in RNAcentral is "partial 16S ribosomal RNA". It matches the Rfam family "Bacterial small subunit ribosomal RNA", at positions 594 to 869 of the family's 1533-position model. The record is from RNAcentral.